UACGUAGGGUGCGAGCGUUGUCCGGAAUUAUUGGGCGUAAAGAGCUCGUAGGCGGUGUGUCGCAUCGGUCGUGAAAACUUGGGGCUUAACCCUGAGCUUGCGGUCGAUACGGGCAUCACUGGAGUUCGGCAGGGGAGACUGGAAUUCCUGGUGUAGCGGUGAAAUGCGCAGAUAUCAGGAGGAACACCGGUGGCGAAGGCGGGUCUCUGGGCCGAUACUGACGCUGAGGAGCGAAAGCGUGGGGAGCGAACAGG
This 254-nucleotide ribosomal RNA is filed under the name uncultured bacterium. Its description in RNAcentral is "partial 16S ribosomal RNA". It matches the Rfam family "Bacterial small subunit ribosomal RNA", at positions 524 to 776 of the family's 1533-position model. The record is from RNAcentral.